This 2893-nucleotide ribosomal RNA is filed under the name synthetic metagenome. Its description in RNAcentral is "bacterial LSU rRNA". It matches the Rfam family "Bacterial large subunit ribosomal RNA". The record is from RNAcentral.
UCAAGUAAUUAAGUGCAUGUGGUGGAUGCCUUGGCAGUCAGAGGCGAUGAAAGACGUGAUAGCCUGCGAAAAGCUCCGGGGAGGCGGCAAAUAUCCUUUGAUCCGGAGAUGUCUGAAUGGGGGAACCCACCUACUUUAAGGUAGGUAUUGCAACAUGAAUACAUAGUGUUGCAAGGCGAACGAGGGGAAGUGAAACAUCUCAGUACCCUUAGGAAAAGAAAUCAAUUGAGAUUCCCUCAGUAGCGGCGAGCGAACGGGGAUCAGCCCAUUAAGUUAUGUGUGUUUUAGUGGAACGCUCUGGGAAGUGCGAACGUAGAGGGUGAUAUUCCCGUACACGAAAGGGCACACAUAAUGAUGACGAGUAGGGCGAGGCACGUGAAACCUUGUCUGAAUAUGGGGGGACCAUCCUCCAAGGCUAAAUACUCCUGACUGACCGAUAGUGAACCAGUACCGUGAGGGAAAGGCGAAAAGAACCCCUGUGAGGGGAGUGAAAUAGAUCCUGAAACCGCAUGCAUACAAGCAGUGGGAGCACCUUCGUGGUGUGACUGCGUACCUUUUGUAUAAUGGGUCAGCGACUUAUAUUCAGUAGCGAGGUUAACCGUAUAGGGGAGCCGUAGAGAAAUCGAGUCUUAAUAGGGCGUUUAGUUGCUGGGUAUAGACCCGAAACCAGGCGAUCUAUCCAUGAGCAGGUUGAAGGUUGGGUAACACUAACUGGAGGACCGAACCCACUGUCGUUGAAAAGCCAGGGGAUGACUUGUGGAUAGGGGUGAAAGGCUAAUCAAGCCUGGUGAUAGCUGGUUCUCCCCGAAAGCUAUUUAGGUAGCGCCUCGGACGAAUACCAUAGGGGGUAGAGCACUGUUUCGGCUAGGGGGUCAUCCCGACUUACCAAACCGAUGCAAACUCCGAAUACCCAGAAGUGCCGAGCAUGGGAGACACACGGCGGGUGCUAACGUCCGUCGUGAAAAGGGAAACAACCCAGACCGCCAGCUAAGGUCCCAAAGUUGUGGUUAAGUGGUAAACGAUGUGGGAAGGCUUAGACAGCUAGGAGGUUGGCUUAGAAGCAGCCACCCUUUAAAGAAAGCGUAAUAGCUCACUAGUCGAGUCGGCCUGCGCGGAAGAUGUAACGGGGCUAAAACUAUGUGCCGAAGCUGCGGAUGUAUACUUUGUAUACGUGGUAGGGGAGCGUUCUGUAAGCCGAUGAAGGUGUGUUGAGAAGCAUGCUGGAGGUAUCAGAAGUGCGAAUGCUGACGUGAGUAACGACAAAACGGGUGAAAAACCCGUUCGCCGAAAGACCAAGGGUUCCAGUCCAACGUUAAUCGGGGCUGGGUGAGUCGACCCCUAAGGCGAGGCCGAAAGGCGUAGUCGAUGGGAAAAUGGUUAAUAUUCCAUUACUUCUGUGUAAUGCGAUGAGAGGACGGAGAAGGCUAAAUCAGCCUGGCGUUGGUUGUCCAGGUGAAAGGAUGUAGGCAUGUAUCUUAGGCAAAUCCGGGGUACUCUAUGCUGAGAUCUGAUAGCAAGCUGUACUUGUACAGCGAAGUGGUUGAUGCCAUGCUUCCAGGAAAAGUCUCUAAGCUUCAGUUACACAGGAAUCGUACCCGAAACCGACACAGGUGGUCAGGUCGAGUAGACCAAGGCGCUUGAGAGAACUCUGCUGAAGGAACUAGGCAAAAUGGUACCGUAACUUCGGGAGAAGGUACGCUGUUGUUGGUGAUGGAACUCGCUUCCUGAGCUGACGACAGCCGCAGAAACCAGGCCGCUGCAACUGUUUAUUAAAAACAUAGCACUCUGCAAACACGAAAGUGGACGUAUAGGGUGUGAUGCCUGCCCGGUGCUGGAAGGUUAAUUGAUGGGGUUAGCGUAAGCGAAGCUCUUGAUCGAAGCCCCAGUAAACGGCGGCCGUAACUAUAACGGUCCUAAGGUAGCGAAAUUCCUUGUCGGGUAAGUUCCGACCUGCACGAAUGGCAUAAUGAUGGCGGCGCUGUCUCCAGCAGAGGCUCAGUGAAAUCGAAAUCGCUGUGAAGAUGCAGUGUACCCGCGGCUAGACGGAAAGACCCCGUGAACCUUUACUGCAGCUUGACACUGAACUUUGACCUUACUUGUGUAGGAUAGGUGGGAGGCUUUGAAGCUGGAACGCUAGUUCCAGUGGAGCCGUCCUUGAAAUACCACCCUGGUAAUGUUGAGGUUCUAACUCUGUCCCGUGAUCCGGGACGAGGACCGUGUCUGGUGGGUAGUUUGACUGGGGCGGUCUCCUCCUAAAGAGUAACGGAGGAGUACGAAGGUGCGCUCAGCGUGGUCGGAAAUCACGCGUAGAGUAUAAAGGCAAAAGCGCGCUUAACUGCGAGACCCACAAGUCGAGCAGGUACGAAAGUAGGUCUUAGUGAUCCGGUGGUUCUGUAUGGAAGGGCCAUCGCUCAACGGAUAAAAGGUACUCCGGGGAUAACAGGCUGAUACCGCCCAAGAGUUCAUAUCGACGGCGGUGUUUGGCACCUCGAUGUCGGCUCAUCUCAUCCUGGGGCUGAAGCAGGUCCCAAGGGUAUGGCUGUUCGCCAUUUAAAGAGGUACGCGAGCUGGGUUUAGAACGUCGUGAGACAGUUCGGUCCCUAUCUACCGUGGGCGCUGGAAAUUUGAGAGGAUCUGCUCCUAGUACGAGAGGACCAGAGUGGACGAACCUCUGGUGUACCGGUUGUGACGCCAGUCGCAUCGCCGGGUAGCUAUGUUCGGAAGGGAUAACCGCUGAAAGCAUCUAAGCGGGAAGCCUACCUCAAGAUAAGAUUUCCCUAGGACUUUAUGUCCUCUAAAGAGCCGUUCGAGACUAGGACGUUGAUAGGUUGGAUGUGGAAGCAUAGUGAUAUGUGAAGCUGACCAAUACUAAUUGCUCGUGAGGCUUGACUAU